Molecule: ribosomal RNA, 442 nt
Filed under: uncultured bacterium
Lineage: Bacteria
Description: bacterial SSU rRNA
Rfam family: Bacterial small subunit ribosomal RNA
Source: RNAcentral
AUUGAACGCUGGCGGCAGGCCUAACACAUGCAAGUCGAGCGGCAGCACGGGUACUUGUACCUGGUGGCGAGCGGCGGACGGGUGAGUAAUGCCUAGGAAUCUGCCUAGUAGUGGGGGAUAACGUUCGGAACGGACGCUAAUACCGCAUACGUCCUACGGGAGAAAGUAGGGGAGUCUUCGGACCUCACGCUAUUAGAUGAGCCUAGGUCGGAUUAGCUAGUUGGUAGGGUAAAGGCCACCAAGGCUACGAUCCGUAACUGGUCUGAGAGGAUGAUCAGUCACACUGGAACUGAGACACGGUCCAGACUCCUACGGGAGGCAGCAGUGGGGAAUAUUGGACAAUGGGCGAAAGCCUGAUCCAGCCAUGCCGCGUGUGUGAAGAAGGUCUUCGGAUUGUAAAGCACUUUAAGUUGGGAGGAAGGGCAGUAAGCUAAUAUCUUGC